Molecule: long non-coding RNA, 1206 nt
Organism: Esox lucius (northern pike)
Lineage: Eukaryota; Metazoa; Chordata; Actinopteri; Esociformes; Esocidae
Source: Ensembl
CUCAAGUCCAGUUCUGAAUCAUCGGCAAAUUUCUAAAUCACAUACUGUUCAAGUAUCACUUCUCUCCAGUCCUAAACUGUAACAAGUGAAAUAUUUUUGGUGUGAUUCUUGUUAAUUAUUGUCGACUUGAUGUCCAUUUUUCCCUGUGAGUUAACACAUUGUUUCAAUCAAAAGCGUUGGUGACAUUCCAGAUGUGUGGCGUAUGUGUUUUUUGAUUGUGGUCUGUAAAGAUCUUUAAGAGAAACGUUUUAAGUGCUGUGAACUUGAUCAAUAUAAGUUAUUGUUUGAUGUUGUAUGUGUGAUUCUGUUCCACUUCUAUUGUUGCUGUUUUUAGAUGUUGCAUUAUGCUAACAUGCUAACGUUGACCAAAGAUUUCUCAGUCCCAAGGUGUGCACGAAUUGAUCCCUCAUACAGAUAGUUAUCCUAACUGGGACAGCUUCAAUCUUGUGCCGAGAUUGAGGGUGUCCUAAUACGUACACUGUACAUGAGGUUUGCAGUAUUAAAACCACCUUCUCUUGACUCUCGUAUCAGAAAACACACCACAGAAAUAAACAGUAUUCAGACUUGGGCUCUGCUAAAAAGCUAUAAUAACUCUUGGAAGGAAAAAGAUUACCGGAAUAACUUUUAUAUACUAUUUUCAUGGUCUUUUUUCUAAGCAAAUCUGCUCAAAUUUGAGGACUUGUGCACUAGAGUGGUUGAGGGUAUCAUUCUACAAGCAGACAGGCAUUCAUCGUCUCCAAGUGUUGGAUCAAAUUAUAUUGUACUGUGAACUGAGUCAAACACUGAGAAAAUGUAAAACAGAGAGGUACAGUAAGUAUCCAGGGCCCAAUGUCCAUGCACACCCUUCAAACAUAUGGUACCUAAAUAAUUAUUGAAUUGUAUAUUUUGUGAAUAACCAUUUGUAAUCUAAUAAAAAACCCAAAACGUAUACUGUAUAAAAUAUGCUAAUUUUACUGGACACGUCCUGUAUCCUAAUAUAUGAUUUAGGUGAGGGAAGAGUACAGUCCUUGGAUUACUUCACAAACGUUGUUUUGGCCUAGGUAUAUAUAUUUUACCUUAUGUAUUUAACUACAUUGAGCUAGAUAAAUGAUCGAUUUAUUUGUGAAGUUGUAUGGAUUCGUAAAAGGAAACCAACAUGUUAAUGUUUUUCAUUUAAUGUUACAAUAUUCAUUCCUACUUAAUAAAAAGCCAUAUCUGUUUGCACGC